CAUAUCCUGCGAAAGUGCCUGGCCUGGCCCCAUUGUGCAGCUGUGUUCUGAGAGAGCCCAGAGGCCCCUGGUUUCUUGGAAGUGAGGGAGUGCAGCACUGAGAAGCAACGGGAAGAUGUCCUACACAUGGAGCGAUAGGCAGAUGCAGCUGCUCUAGGAUCCUCUGGUCAUCUGUUUUCAUUAAAACUUCACUUGUGCAUUUGACCUACCAGCUGGAUUCAGCAUAUGUCACUGGUAAAGGGCCAUAACAUCCCAGUGAAGUGCAAGUGGAAAGAGGGAAGUGAGCUGCAGAAGAGAUGAGACUCAUGAUCUGCAGUUGUUUGAUGCAGAGAUUGAACAUUGAAAAUCACGAACAACAUUUACAUGAAACACUAGCUGCCACUAGCUUCACAUUCAUCUGUCAGAUCAGUCUUUGCAACUUCUAAGUGACGGAUGAAGGAAAUCCUUAUUGCUUGAAGCAGCUCUACCUAUUUAUAUGAACCUGCCACGUGGUUUCCUAAAAUAUGAACUGACAAGGCCAUUCGUCUCUGAAAUGCUGCUGAAGAUGGUUUCAGAACUGGAGUGAUGAAGCCUGGUCGUAAUAGCUGCUGUCUCUUUCUUGUUGCCUCGUGUGCCAAGGUGUCCCAAAGCACAGCUGUGAAACAAAGUACCGUGGAAUAUUCCUUGAGAAUUCUACCCAGAUGUGAAAAGAAUAAGUGCAUUUUUUAAAACAGAUUUUAAGUUAAGCUGUUCAGCCUGAAAAUGUCAAAUAUGAAGAAGUGAUACUUUUGCUUAAUGUAAAACUGAAUCACUUCUUUAAUACGUAUAGCAUCUGAGUGAUUUAGUUAAGCUAUAUUAAAUUACAAUUCUGUUCUUGUUUUCUUGAUUAUAUUCAGAAUUACAAACUUCAGAUCUAUUGUUGUUAAAUAGGGAUAUUUUUCACUGUUCAGGUAUGAAUAUUUAAACAGUGCUAAAUUUCGAGGUAUACAGAUGAGCUAAUUUGAAAUUUUAAAUGAAUUAAAAGUUCAAUUUCUGAAAUGAUUUGUAAAGUCUUGCUUGAUUCUUGAGUGCUUCCAGGUGCUUCAAUAAAACCUGGUUCCAAAAAAUCCAGUAUUCUGUUUCUGAAAUUCACUAUUUAACCUCAUUCUUGUUAAUCUAGUACAAACUUUUAUUUCAUUUGACAGUACAGUUUUCAACUUUAUAGAUGAACCAGACAUUAAAACUCACAUAGCUUAUAAUUUACACGGAAAAUGGCAGAAAAAUAAAAGAUCAUUAGGGCUUGCAUUGCUAAAAUCAGAGCCAUCUGACCUCCUUUAACAAUUACUGCAUUUGAUAUUUAAUAACUUUCACAGAUUAACAUUGCUGACAAAUGAUCUGGUUUUCCAGUGGGUAGUUUAGCUCAUUGGAUCCAAAGGUAAAUAAAAGAAAAGGCAAUGAGCUCAUGGCUGUUAACAUGCUUUCAGCCCUUGGCCACCAUUUACCCCACUCCACAGCACGUAGAAAAAUCUCUGCCCAGCUGUAAUGAGAAGCUCCACCCCAUAUUAUUCUUGUUACAUAGGUACAGGUACUUAUGGCAGAAGUGCAGAAUUCACAUUCUUUGUACAUUCUGUGAGAGAGAAAAAGCAAAUGGUCAAUCAAAUUAGUCUUUUCUCAGCAUCUCUGCCCAGUACAUUGCCCUUUAGAGCAGCGGAUUUAGUAUCAGUUGGUCUCUGCCUGGGGUACAUGACGGUUUACCUCAAAUUCAGGACUUGUCGCUUCAAUAACAAUCUUUAAUUUUGGAUAUGUUUACUUUUUUUCUGUUUUCUUGUCUACUAUUCUAUUGUUUUGAAAUUCUUUUAUUGCUAAAUGCUGGAGAAAGCUCAUUUCAAACAUUCUGUUACACCAUUUUCUUUGUGUGUACCACAUACAACAGAGUUUUUCUUUCAAGUGCUGUAUUUCAUUUAAAACUGAUUGCACAAUUUUAGUGCCUGUGCCUCUUUAGCAAUCCUGGCUUUUUC
RNAcentral lists this long non-coding RNA (1976 nucleotides) under Gallus gallus (chicken). The record is from RNAcentral. Lineage: Eukaryota; Metazoa; Chordata; Aves; Galliformes; Phasianidae.